This 884-nucleotide ribosomal RNA is filed under the name uncultured bacterium. Its description in RNAcentral is "bacterial SSU rRNA". It matches the Rfam family "Bacterial small subunit ribosomal RNA", at positions 8 to 908 of the family's 1533-position model. The record is from RNAcentral.
AGAGUUUGAUCAUGGCUCAGGACGAACGCUGGCGGCGUGCUUAACACAUGCAAGUCGAGCGGUAAGGCCCUUCGGGGUACACGAGUGGCGAACGGGUGAGUAACACGUGGGUGACCUGCCCCCUACUCUGGGAUAACCCCUCGAAAGAGGAGCUAAUACCGGAUACCACCUCCCGCGGCAUCUCGGGAGGUCGAAAGUUCUUCGGUCAGGGAUGGGCCCGCGGCCUACCAGCUAGUUGGUGGGGUGACGGCCUACCAAGGCGACGACGGGUAGCCGGCCUGAGAGGGCGACCGGCCACACUGGGACUGAGACACGGCCCAGACUCCUACGGGAGGCAGCAGUGGGGAAUAUUGCGCAAUGGGCGAAAGCCUGACGCAGCAACGCCGCGUGAGGGAUGACGGCCUUCGGGUUGUAAACCUCUUUCAGCGGGGACGAAGCGAAAGUGACUGUACCCGCAGAAGAAGCGCCGGCUAACUACGUGCCAGCAGCCGCGGUAAUACGUAGGGCGCAAGCGUUGUCCGGAUUUAUUGGGCGUAAAGAGCUCGUAGGCGGUCUGUCGCGUCGGAUGUGAAAACCCGGAACUCAACUCCGGGCCUGCAUUCGAUACGGGCAGACUUGAGUACUGCAGGGGAGACUGGAAUUCCUGGUGUAGCGGUGGAAUGCGCAGAUAUCAGGAGGAACACCGGUGGCGAAGGCGGGUCUCUGGGCAGAAACUGACGCUGAGGAGCGAAAGCGUGGGGAGCGAACAGGAUUAGAUACCCUGGUAGUCCACGCCGUAAACGGUGGGCACUAGGUGUGGGGACCAUUCCACGGUCUCUGCGCCGCAGCUAACGCAUUAAGUGCCCCCCCUGGGGAGUACGGCCGCAAGGCUAAAACUCAAUGAA